GGACCCGCACAAGUAGCGGAGCAUGUGGUUUAAUUCGAAGCAACGCGAAGAACCUUACCUAAGCUUGACAUCCCAAGGACAUCUCCUUAAUCGGAGAGUUCCCUUCGGGGACAUUGGUGACAGGUGGUGCAUGGUUGUCGUCAGCUCGUGUCGUGGGAUGUUGGGUUAAGUCCCGCAACGAGCGCAACCCUUGUCUUUAGUUGCCAUCAUUAAGUUGGGCACUCUAGAGAGACUGCCAGGGAUAACCUGGAGGAAGGUGGGGAUGACGUCAAAUCAUCAUGCC
Molecule: ribosomal RNA, 283 nt
Filed under: Clostridioides difficile
Lineage: Bacteria; Bacillati; Bacillota; Clostridia; Peptostreptococcales; Peptostreptococcaceae
Description: partial 16S ribosomal RNA
Rfam family: Bacterial small subunit ribosomal RNA
Source: RNAcentral